GACGAACGCUGGCGGCGUGCUUAACACAUGCAAGUCGAGCGGUAAGGCCCCUUCGGGGGUACACGAGCGGCGAACGGGUGAGUAACACGUGGGUGACCUGCCCUCAGCUCUGGGAUAAGCCUGGGAAACCGGGUCUAAUACCGGAUAGGACCGUCCACCGCAUGGUGGGGGGUGGAAAGUUUUUUCGGCCGGGGAUGGGCCCGCGGCCUAUCAGCUUGUUGGUGGGGUGAUGGCGUAACAAGGCGACGACGGGUAACCGGCCUGAGAGGGCGACCGGCCACACUGGGACUGAGACACGGCCCAGACUCCUACGGGAGGCAGCAGUGGGGAAUAUUGCGCAAUGGGCGGAAGCCUGACGCAGCGACGCCGCGUGGGGGAUGACGGCCUUCGGGUUGUAAACCUCUUUCGACCGGGACGAAGGGUGACUGACGGUACCGGUAGAAGAAGCACCGGCCAACUACGUGCCAGCAGCCGCCGUAA
Molecule: ribosomal RNA, 480 nt
Filed under: uncultured bacterium
Lineage: Bacteria
Description: partial 16S ribosomal RNA
Rfam family: Bacterial small subunit ribosomal RNA
Source: RNAcentral